GCUAGUGGGAGUGUCUUUUAGCAUGC
Molecule: non-coding RNA, 26 nt
Filed under: Homo sapiens (human)
Lineage: Eukaryota; Metazoa; Chordata; Mammalia; Primates; Hominidae
Source: RNAcentral